CAAUAGCGUAUAUUAAAGCUGUUGCGGUUAAAAAGCUCGUAGUUGGAUUUCUGUCAAGUACAACUGGUCCGCCCUCCGGGUGAGCACAUAGUUUGGUCUUGGCAUCUUGCUGGAAAUUGUUGCUGCACUUGGCUGUGUGGCGCAGUGUCCAGCACUUUCACUUUGAGGAAAUUGGAGUGUUUCAAGCAGGCAAUGCCUUUGAACACAGUAGCAUGGAAUAAUUAGAUUGGGCUUUUGCUCCAAUUUGUCGGUUUCUGGAGCUGAGGUGAGAAUUAAUGGGGAUUGUUGGGGGCAUCCGAAUUUAGCCGUCAGAGGUGAAAUUCUUGGAUCGGCUAAAGACGGACAACUGCGAAAGCGUCUGCCCAGGAUGUUUUCAUUG
This 379-nucleotide ribosomal RNA is filed under the name uncultured eukaryote. RNAcentral describes it as "partial 18S ribosomal RNA". It matches the Rfam family "Eukaryotic small subunit ribosomal RNA", at positions 592 to 975 of the family's 1831-position model. The record is from RNAcentral.